CCUGCCCCUGGAAGCAUUGCAGGUGUGGCUACUGUGUUACAAGAGCAUUAGUAGGUGGAAGAGGAAAGAGGGCUAUGUCUAGCCUUUGUGUUCUGACCUAUGAGCAUCUGAAUUAAUAGCUUAACAUU
Small nucleolar RNA from Apodemus sylvaticus (European woodmouse), 128 nucleotides. RefSeq annotates it as small nucleolar RNA SNORA17. Lineage: Eukaryota; Metazoa; Chordata; Mammalia; Rodentia; Muridae. The transcript has a single exon. The record is from RefSeq and is a predicted model, not a curated record.